CUCUCAUCACUCUCCCAGCUGCCUCCAGGGAGGCACUUCCAGGUUUCUUGGCCUGUUACGAUGUGUCAGGGCCAGCAUAAAAGGAAGGAUUGUUCAGAUGCUCAUGCUCACUGCCCUGGUGUUAGACUUCUCCACUGCUCUUGGAAUUAGAGAGACUGCACCAAAUAAGACUCUUCCCCUCUUAGUUAAGUUGGUGAUAUUGAUGACUGCCCUCUGCAGGAGAGGGAUCUACAUACAUACAAUUGUGCCUGUGUGUGUUCACUCACCACACCAACAUCGAGUAACAAUCACAAAUACCAGCAUUUUUACUCACACGUGUUUAUUUGGAAACCCAGCCUGAAGCGCCAAAAGCUAUCCAGGACAAGAUCUUAGUAAUGAGAGUAGCAAAAGAGGGCAAGCCAAAUGGUGCCAGGACGUUUAAGCUUAAGCUUGUAUAAGGUCCACAAAUGUUCCAUUACCCAAAGUGAGUACAGGGCCAAGCACAAAGUCAAGGGGGAUAAGUCACAUGACAAACAUACACAGACACAGGUAGGAGUAAUGUUUGGAGCUAAUAAUUCGAUCUACUAAACCUGUCAGUAUGCCAUUCUUGGGGCAUACAGCCAUGUCUACAUCGGUAAAUUGGCAAUUUAAAUGAACCGUGAUAGCUGCUACAAUAGGGUAAGUACAGCAUGAAAUGUGCAUAAUAUGCUCCUUAGAAGCCUGAGUCAGGACUUGGUGUUCUGGUCUCAGGAUAUAACUAUACCUAGAACUUCUUUGGUUUGGAAGAAUCAAAAUGCUCAAGAGAAGCCAGGAAACUUCCCUUCUAGGUUCUAGUGUCUACAUUCACUUCCUGGUGGUAAUAACAUAACCUUUAUAUGCAAAUUUUUAUAUUCUGUACUUGGCCUUGUAAAAGAACCCUGUCAUUGGGUUCUCAUAUAUACUGUGUAUAUGUGUGUAUAGUAUUUCUAUAAGUAUCUAUUGAAAGAGGUGAUUCUGAUAUCCCCUAUAUAAUCCUAACACUCCUGGAUUCAUUCUGGCCUUCUGCUUUUUCAUAUUAUAUAUUGUCUUUUAGCGAGAAAAUGAGAAAACUAGCUCCCAUUAACCACACUAUAUUUUCUUAUUUGCUCAAUUCUAGAGAGCACAUUACAUAGAUUCAUAAUUGCUAACUCAUACUACUUGUAUAACAAACCUACUAACUACUACUACCAGUAACUUGUACAGCCAGCAAUAAUAUUCAGCAACCUCAGACUGAUUUCCCAAGAGGGCAAGGACAGCUUUGUCCCCAUGGAGGGAGCUUCAGAACCAGGAGGGGGUCUAUGAGUAUUUCCUGUAUGUCUCAUAAGUCAGUGUACUGGGACUUGUUCAGGCUUCUGCUGGAACCAGUGUGGAUAGUUACCACUGUUGACUGCUCCAGUGUGAAGCCACAGGUGAGAGUAAAGGUCCCUCCUAAUGACAUGGUCAGUUAGGCUUCCUAUGUCAUCAUAGCCUGUGAAUUGUACUCUGAAAUGAAAACAGCCGGGCACAGUGGCUCACGCCUGUAAUCCCAGCACUUUGGAAGGCCGAGGUGGGUGGAUCACCUGAGGUCAGGGGUUCAAGACCAGCCUAGCCAACAUGGUGAAACCCCGUCUCUACUAAAAAUACAAAAAUUAGCUGGGCACGGUGGCAGGCCCCUGUAAUUCCAACUCGGGAGGCUGAGGCAGGGGAAUCAUUUGAACCUGGGAGGCAGAGGUUGCAGUGAGCCAAGAUUGCGCCGUUGCACUCCAGCCUAGGCAACAAGAGCAAAACCCCGUCUCAAAAAAAAAAAAAAAAAAAGAAAGAAAGAAAGAAAAGAAAACAUAUUUUAGGAAUGAGAAACCAGGGCAGAGGAAUCACUCCAAAGCCCAGUCUGUGAAAUCCCCAUGAACCUGGGCAGUGAGUAAGAAGUAGGAGGAGGAGGAAAGGAGUCCAGGCCAUGGUACAAAGUACCAAGGGCCCAGUGGCCCCAGAGUUGAUGCCAAGCUCUCUGCUGGUUCUUGCAUUCUCUCCUGAAUGCCCUGGAUAAGGGGUAUGUGUGUAGUAUAAAUCUGUUACCUUUACCACUCCUUGCAACUGUGUCCUCAGCUCAGAAAACAGAUCCAUUGCUGGGAGACAAGUUGGUAGGUUGUGACCUUUGAGUUUACCUGAUGAAGAAACCUUUUACGCUGGUCAGUGAGUUCAGAGUGCCUGAAGUUUUAAAGCCCUUAGUUACAGACUAUGCUUACCUCUGAGGGGAUGCACAGUACCCGCUGGUGGCUUCUUCAAGAGAAUGUGAAUAGUGAUGGGGGUAGGGAGGGUGAGUGGUUGCCCAUUCUUUUAUUCAACUAAUAAAAUAAAUAUUGUUUUAAUGCCUAUGAUUUUUUGGCAGCAACUUGUGCUUUCCAUUUUACUUUCUUACUGGUAUCAACUGAUGAACAGAAGCUUUUACUUUUUAUGAAGUUCAAAUUUAACAAAUUUUUCCUGUACCCUUAGUAUCUUUGCCCCUAUCUAGGCCAAGGCCAUGAAGAUAAUUCUCUUCAGUUUUUUUUUUCUUUUUUCUAGUAGCUUUGUUGUUUUGGCUUUCACAUUUUGGUCUAUAAUCCAUCUUGAAUUUUAUGUAUGAUAUGAGGUAGGGUGUCAAGGCUCCUUCCCACCCUCGACCUCGACUCCAUACAGAUAUCCGGUGGCUCUAGUACCAUUUACUGAAAAUACUUUUUCCCCACUAAAUUUUAUUGGCACCUUUGUUGAAAAUCAGGUGACUGUAUAUAUGUUGGCUUACGUGUGAAUUGUUUAUUAUGUUCCCCUGAUCAAUUUGUGUCCUUUUACCAAUCCCAUAUGGUCCUAAUUAGUGUUGCCUUAUUGAAAGUUCCCAUAUUACUAGGUUAUUUGCAUUUCCAUAAAACUUUAAAAUCACUUAAUUUCUGCCAACCUAUUGAAAUUUUGAUCAGGACUGGUUUGUAUCUAUAUAUCAACUUGAAAAUAUUUAAUAUACUUCAAAUAUUGAGAGAGUUUUACUUUUUUCUUUCCAAUUUUUAUGUCCUUUACUUGAACCAAAAUUAAAUAUCUGACUUAGUUCAGGAUUCAUCUUGAUGAGGAAUAUUAGAUGAAAUUUGUCCUCUUGCAUAAAAAUAUUUUGCAGAUCUUCUUGGUACAUUUUAGUGGCUUUUUGUGAAGGAAGUUUUCAGUAACGUAUAUAUUACUUUUUAUGUAACAGUAAGUCAUUAAACCAUGACAGCCUAAGCUGACACUUUCUGCGAGAGGAUAGAUUUAUCAUGAAUUAAACACAGGCUUAUUGCCAAGAUCAUGCUUGGCUACACUGCAACUUGGGUGACCCAGUGAGACUCUGUCUCAAAACAAACAAACAAAAAAGGCUUAAUCAUCAUAUUUUGAGGAUGGCACAGAAGAAAUAAAUAUUCUUUCAG
This 3395-nucleotide long non-coding RNA is filed under the name Macaca fascicularis (crab-eating macaque). Its description in RNAcentral is "lncRNA (ENSMFAG00000052429.1)". Lineage: Eukaryota; Metazoa; Chordata; Mammalia; Primates; Cercopithecidae. The record is from RNAcentral.